UACGUAGGGUGCGAGCGUUAAUCGGAAUUACUGGGCGGAAAGCGGGCGCAGGCGGCGCGUUAAGACAGGUGUGAAAGCCCCGAGCUUAACUUGGGAAUUGCGCUUGUGACUGGCGUGCUGGAGUGUGGCAGAGGGAGGUGGAAUUCCACGUGUAGCAGUGAAAUGCGUAGAGAUGUGGAGGAACACCGAUGGCGAAGGCAGCCUCCUGGGCCAGCACUGACGCUCAUGCACGAAAGCGUGGGGAGCAAACAGG
Molecule: ribosomal RNA, 253 nt
Filed under: uncultured bacterium
Lineage: Bacteria
Description: partial 16S ribosomal RNA
Rfam family: Bacterial small subunit ribosomal RNA
Source: RNAcentral